AAUAUUGGACAAUGGGCGAAAGCCUGAUCCAGCAAUGCCGCGUGUGUGAAGAAGGUCUUCGGUUUGUAAAGCACUUUAAGUUGGGAGGAAGGGCAGUAAGCUAAAACCUUGCUGUUUUGACGUUACCACCAGAAUAAGCACUGGCGAACUUCCUGCGAGCAGCAGCGGUAACACGAAUGGUGCAAGCGUUAAUCGGAAUUACUGGGCGUAAAGCGCGCGUAGGUGGUUCGUUAAGUUGGAAGUGAAAGCCCCGGGCUUAACCUGGGAAUUGCUUUCAAAACUGGCAAGCUAGAGUAUGGCAGAGGGUGGUGGAAUUUCCUGUGUAGCGGUGAAAUGCGUAGAUAUAGGAAGGAACACCAGUGGCGAAGGCGACCACCUGGGCUAAUACUGACACUGAGGUGCGAAAGCGUGGGGAGCAAACAGG
RNAcentral lists this ribosomal RNA (424 nucleotides) under uncultured bacterium. Its description in RNAcentral is "partial 16S ribosomal RNA". It matches the Rfam family "Bacterial small subunit ribosomal RNA", at positions 360 to 776 of the family's 1533-position model. The record is from RNAcentral.